Seriola aureovittata is the source of this 414-nucleotide long non-coding RNA. RefSeq lists it as uncharacterized. The transcript is spliced from 2 exons. The record is from RefSeq and is a predicted model, not a curated record. Lineage: Eukaryota; Metazoa; Chordata; Actinopteri; Carangiformes; Carangidae.
GUCAUAGUAUGGCAGUGGAUACAACGACAUAGUAAAAUAAGGCCUAAAAAUGCCAAAAAACAUCAUAGUAUAGUAUGGCAAAAAAUGUCAUAGUAUAGUAUGGCAAAAAAUGUCAAAAAACACUAUAGCAUUUUAAGGCAUAAAAUGUCAUAAAAACGUCAUAGUAUGGUAGGGGAUACAACGACAUAGUAAAAUAAGGCCUAAAAAUGUUAAAAAACAUCAUAGUAUAGUAUGGCAAAAAAUGUCAAAAAACACUAUAGCAUUUUAAGGCAUAAAAUGUCAUAGAAAUGUCAUAGUAUGGUAGGGGAUACAACGACAUAGUAAAGUAAGGCCUAAAAAUUUUAAAAAACAUCAUAGUAUAGUAUGGCAUAAAAUGCCAAAAAACGUCAUAGUAUAGUAUGGCAAAAAAUGUCA